CAGAACCUGGCUGAAGAUGAACAACUCCCAGGGAGACUUUGGAGGGAAAAGCAAGAAACCUGGGCCUCCUCCCCUCCCGCUCCACCCUCCCUACUCCCUGAUCCCUUACAGAGGGAGGUGGAGGUCUGAGGAGGGUAAGAGCUUGUGAGUGUGGCUGCGCCCCCUGCUAAGGUGCUGAGAAUCCACAGCUCUUUCCAUCCUCCGCUCCUCCCUCCCCAAUGCCCAUCAGGUGCUCACUCAGAGGUGGUGCCGGGCGAUUUCAUAAGAAGGGCAGCAGACAGAGUCUCGGGGAAUAGUCCAAGGAGAAAGAUUCUGAAGCUGGAGCCCACUCCAAAUCUCAGGAGAGAGAAGGUCCUGAGUGGGACGGGGAGUGUGGAAAAGAAGGCCCAGAAGGAAAUACCACCCAUCCCAGGAAGACAAAAACAUGAAGUUUUAGAACUGGCAGGCUCCGAAUUCAAAGGCACACAGUCCUUUCAGUAGCCUAAGAAGGUCAGGCACGGUGGCUCACGCCUGUAAUCCCAG
Molecule: long non-coding RNA, 522 nt
Filed under: Aotus nancymaae (Ma's night monkey)
Lineage: Eukaryota; Metazoa; Chordata; Mammalia; Primates; Aotidae
Description: lncRNA (ENSANAG00000039558.1)
Source: RNAcentral